GUGUUUCUAUUUUUUGCAUGAUCUGAAGUACGUGAGUGCUUUUAAGAUCUUAUAAAAAUUAAAAACUA
RNAcentral lists this non-coding RNA (68 nucleotides) under Spodoptera frugiperda (fall armyworm). Lineage: Eukaryota; Metazoa; Arthropoda; Insecta; Lepidoptera; Noctuidae. The record is from RNAcentral.